GGGGAUGAAAGGAUUUCGACGGGGAGUUUGAAUUCCGGUAAGCGAGUAGCGGUGCAGACCCGCUAUAAAAUCUGCAACGUUUAAAAUAAACGACAACACAAAUUAUUCUCUUAAGGCUGCCUAAGGCACCUUCGUCCUGCUCUUGAGUACUGCGGCUUGAGCAAGGGCGUCGAUUAGCAGUGAACGUGAACGGGAGAGUGCCUCGGCUCCCGUCAUGACUUAGAGACUACCGAACCUGCAAGCCUGUUUUUCGGCGUGCAGUCGGGGGAACCUUAAAAGAUAAACUACACUCGUAGAAAGCCGGGUGGAUGACUUUUCGGACGCGGUUUCGAUUACCGCCAUCUCCACCA
Molecule: transfer-messenger RNA, 350 nt
Filed under: Acutalibacteraceae
Lineage: Bacteria; Bacillati; Bacillota; Clostridia; Eubacteriales
Also listed under: 1 other name
Description: RUG420 sp900771085 Standard tmRNA
Rfam family: transfer-messenger RNA
About the family: Bacterial tmRNA, also known as 10Sa RNA or SsrA, is named for its dual tRNA and mRNA-like properties.
Source: RNAcentral